AAGGUAUUGUAAUAAGAUUUUAAUUGAAUGCUAAAAGAAUGGAAGUUUAGAAAAAGUCUUUUUAAAAAAUAAAAAUUAAAAUUUUUUUAAUUUGUGCAGAAACAAUUAUUUAUAUUAAAGACAAGAAGACCCUAAGAAUUUUCUGGUUCAAUAAUUUAUAUAUUUAAUUUAUUAAACCUUGGUUGGGGCGAUCAAAAAAUAUUAAUAACUUUUUUUCAUUAAAAUGAUCUAUUAUUAAUAAAUUAAUGAAUUAAAUACUCUAGGGAUAACAGCGUAAUAAUUUUUGAUAGAUCUUAUAGACAAAAUAGUUUGCGACCUCGAUGUUGGAUUAGGAUUCUUUUUUGGUGAAGAAACCAAAAAAAGAAGUUUGUUCAACUUUUAAACUCCU
RNAcentral lists this ribosomal RNA (388 nucleotides) under Hyalomma aegyptium. Its description in RNAcentral is "partial large subunit ribosomal RNA". Lineage: Eukaryota; Metazoa; Arthropoda; Arachnida; Ixodida; Ixodidae. The record is from RNAcentral.